GAGUUUGAUCGUGGCUCAGAUUGAACGCUGGCGGCAUGCCUUACACAUGCAAGUCGAACGGCAGCACGGGAGCUUGCUCCUGGUGGGCGAGUGGCGAACGGGUGAGUAAUGCAUCGGAACGUAUCCUGGAGUGGGGGAUAACGUAGCGAAAGUUACGCUAAUACCGCAUAUUCUGUGAGCAGGAAAGCGGGGGACCUUCGGGCCUCGCGCUCUUGGAGCGGCCGAUGUCGGAUUAGCUAGUUGGUGAGGUAAAGGACUCACCAAGGCGACGAUCCGUAGCAGGUCUGAGAGGAUGAUCUGCCACACUGGAACUGAGACACGGUCCA
Molecule: ribosomal RNA, 326 nt
Filed under: bacterium enrichment culture clone ALO1_GLFRUDD03GVAOH
Lineage: Bacteria
Description: bacterial SSU rRNA
Rfam family: Bacterial small subunit ribosomal RNA
Source: RNAcentral